This 676-nucleotide ribosomal RNA is filed under the name uncultured Enterococcus sp. RNAcentral's name for it is "bacterial SSU rRNA". It matches the Rfam family "Bacterial small subunit ribosomal RNA", at positions 838 to 1516 of the family's 1533-position model. Lineage: Bacteria; Bacillati; Bacillota; Bacilli; Lactobacillales; Enterococcaceae. The record is from RNAcentral.
CUUCAGUGCUGCAGCUAACGCAUUAAGCACUCCGCUGGGGAGUACGACCGCAAGGUUGAAACUCAAAGGAAUUGACGGGGGCCCGCACAAGCGGUGGAGCAUGUGGUUUAAUUCGAAGCAACGCGAAGAACCUUACCAGGUCUUGACAUCCUUUGACCACUCUAGAGAUAGAGCUUUCCCUUCGGGGACAAAGUGACAGGUGGUGCAUGGUUGUCGUCAGCUCGUGUCGUGAGAUGUUGGGUUAAGUCCCGCAACGAGCGCAACCCUUAUUGUUAGUUGCCAUCAUUCAGUUGGGCACUCUAGCGAGACUGCCGGUGACAAACCGGAGGAAGGUGGGGAUGACGUCAAAUCAUCAUGCCCCUUAUGACCUGGGCUACACACGUGCUACAAUGGGAAGUACAACGAGUCGCUAGGCCGCGAGGUCAUGCAAAUCUCUUAAAGCUUCUCUCAGUUCGGAUUGCAGGCUGCAACUCGCCUGCAUGAAGCCGGAAUCGCUAGUAAUCGCGGAUCAGCACGCCGCGGUGAAUACGUUCCCGGGCCUUGUACACACCGCCCGUCACACCACGAAAGUUUGUAACACCCGAAGUCGGUGAGGUAACCUUUUGGAGCCAGCCGCCUAAGGUGGGAUAGAUGAUUGGGGUGAAGUCGUAACAAGGUAACCAAGGGCGAAUUCCAG